AGGACGAACGCUUGCGACGUGCCUAAGAAAUGCAAGUCGAACGGAAUUACCUUCGGGUAGUUUAGUGGCGAACGGUCGCGUAACACGUGGGCAACCUGCCCUGAAGCGGGGGACAACAACUCGAAAGAGUUGCUAAUACCGCGUGUGUAUCGGAAUGGCAUCAUUCAGGAUACAAAGGACUUCGGUUCACUUCAGGAUGGGCCCGCGGCCUAUCAGCUAGUUGGUAAGGUAAUGGCUUACCAAGGCUUCGACGGGUAGCUGGUCUGAGAGGACGAUCAGCCGGAUUGGGACUGAGAUACGGCCCAGACUCCUACGGGGGGCAGCAAUUAGGAAUCUUGCGCAAUGGGCGAAAGCCUGACGCAGCGACGUCGCGUGAAGGAUGAAAUCUUUCGGGAUGUAAACUUCUUUUACCAGGGAAGAAACAAUGACGGUACCUGGUGAAUAAGCCCCGGACUAACUACGUGCCAGCAGCCGC
This 475-nucleotide ribosomal RNA is filed under the name uncultured bacterium. RNAcentral's name for it is "SSU rRNA". It matches the Rfam family "Bacterial small subunit ribosomal RNA", at positions 26 to 518 of the family's 1533-position model. The record is from RNAcentral.